Caenorhabditis remanei is the source of this 73-nucleotide non-coding RNA. Lineage: Eukaryota; Metazoa; Nematoda; Chromadorea; Rhabditida; Rhabditidae. The record is from Rfam.
GGUCCUAUGGUGUAGUGGUUAUCACGUCUGCUUUACACGCAGAAGAUCGCCGGUUCGAUCCCGGCUAGGACCU